RNAcentral lists this unclassified non-coding RNA (374 nucleotides) under soil metagenome. Its description in RNAcentral is "partial contains 5.8S ribosomal RNA, internal transcribed spacer 2, and large subunit ribosomal RNA". The stretch from base 1 to 120 matches the Rfam family "5.8S ribosomal RNA", at positions 35 to 154 of the family's 154-position model. The record is from RNAcentral.
GAUGAAGAACGCAGCGAAAUGCGAUAAGUAAUGUGAAUUGCAGAAUUCAGUGAAUCAUCGAAUCUUUGAACGCACAUUGCGCCCGCCAGUAUUCUGGCGGGCAUGCCUGUUCGAGCGUCAUUUCAACCCUCAAGACCCCUUCGGGGGACUUGGUGUUGGGGACCGGCACAGGGGCCUGCCUGCUUGUCUUGCAGCGCCCUCGCCGCCCCCGAAAUGAAUUGGCGGCCUCGUCGCGGCCUCCCCUGCGUAGUAGCACAACCUCGCAACGGGAACGUGACGGCGGCCACUGCCGUAAAACAACCCCAAUUUUAUUAGAGUUGACCUCGAAUCAGGUAGGAAUACCCGCUGAACUUAAGCAUAUCAUAAGCGGAGGA